AUGUUGAAAAAUUAGCGGAUGACUUGUGGCUGGGGGUGAAAGGCCAAUCAAACCGGGAGAUAGCUGGUUCUCCCCGAAAGCUAUUUAGGUAGCGCCUCGUGAACUCAUCUUCGGGGGUAGAGCACUGUUUCGGCUAGGGGGUCAUCCCGACUUACCAACCCGAUGCAAACUACGAAUACCGAAGAAUGUUAUCACGGGAGACACACG
Molecule: ribosomal RNA, 207 nt
Filed under: Klebsiella aerogenes
Lineage: Bacteria; Pseudomonadati; Pseudomonadota; Gammaproteobacteria; Enterobacterales; Enterobacteriaceae
Also listed under: 2 other names
Description: partial 23S ribosomal RNA
Rfam family: Bacterial large subunit ribosomal RNA
Source: RNAcentral